Molecule: ribosomal RNA, 494 nt
Filed under: uncultured bacterium
Lineage: Bacteria
Description: partial 16S ribosomal RNA
Rfam family: Bacterial small subunit ribosomal RNA
Source: RNAcentral
GACGAACGCUGGCGGCGUGCUUAACACAUGCAAGUCGAACGGAAAGGCCUGCUUUCCCUUGUGGAUUGCGGGUACUCGAGUGGCGAACGGGUGAGUAACACGUGAGUGAUCUGCCCCCAACUUGGGUAUAAGCCUGGGAAACUGGGUCUAAUUCCCGAUAGGACUGCAGGGUGGUGCCUGUGGUGGAAAACGAUUUUCUAGUGGUUGGGGAUGAGCUCGCGGCCUAUCAGCUUGUUGGUGGGGUAAUGGCCUACCAAGGCGGCGACGGGUAGCCGGCCUGAGAGGGUGGACGGCCACAUUGGGACUGAGAUACGGCCCAGACUCCUACGGGAGGCAGCAGUGGGGAAUAUUGCACAAUGGGCGGAAGCCUGAUGCAGCGACGCCGAGUGGGGGAUGACGGCCUUCGGGUUGUAAACUCCUUUCGACCGCGAGGAAGCCACCUGGUUGGAAGGGUGGUGACGGUAGUGGUAGAAGAAGCACCGGCUAACUACGUG